Long non-coding RNA from Anolis carolinensis (green anole), 1825 nucleotides. RefSeq lists it as uncharacterized. Lineage: Eukaryota; Metazoa; Chordata; Lepidosauria; Squamata; Anolidae. The record is from RefSeq and is a predicted model, not a curated record. The transcript is spliced from 4 exons.
AUGUGCUUCCCAUAUGAACAGUGAGAUUAGUUACUCAGCUUCAUAUUCGCAUUGGAAUAAAACUUAUCAGAGUAUCAUUGUUAAGAAAUAGACCUUUUUACCAUCCUUUAUGUAUAUUAAAGAGUCUUCUAUUCAUUAAAGCAAUAGACAUAAGCAGUGGGAUUGUUCUGAAAGAAACAACAUUAAUCAAAUACUCGUGAGAGCAUUUGUACAGCUACCUUGAAUUCCAAACCAGAAAUAGUGAGAUGAUGACAACGAUGACGAUGAUAAUAAUGAUGAUGAUGAUAUCAUGAAAAUCAGGAUACACACUGGUGGAAUGGCAUCCUUAGAUACAGGCCACCGGAGGAUCCUUCAGAUGACCGAAGGAGAGGAGGAGCCAUGCAGCAGCUACCAGCAUCCUGAAUACAUUCUCUUCCCCCCUCUAUUACAAAGUAACCCUUUUAAAUAAAUGUACACUUAUCUGUGUUAUCCUUAUAUUUGAUUCUUUGUGUCCUCUUUGCCUCCUGUGUCUUUCUCUCUCCUUUUUGCCUCUUGCAGCUGGCUCCGGUAACCGCUCACACCCCCCCAGCACUAAGAGCGGGGUUUCCUCUCCUUUUCUACCCAAAAUCUGAACUUCCCUUACCUCAACUAACCCUGAGUUAACCCUCACCCUCGUGGGUACCCCGGCUUCCACCACUGGGAUGCCCCAGUAUCCACAGACCCCCUUUUGUGUGUAGUAUGUGUACUAUUUUAUGUUUUAUAAACUUUUGGAGAUAUGAAGCCUCUGAAUCAAGAUUCUGGUAACCUUUCACGAACACCCCUUGACCCUGGGAAUUCCCUCCAGUGUUUUUCCUGGGCAUCACAUCAACAAUGGACUCAAGAACCCUUCAUCAUGGAAAUCAAUCCAUCUCUAUUGAUUCCCAUAAGACCAACUGUACAUGGGACUACAGGAUCCGCAUGCCUGGCCUGCGGACAGAAAAGGAACAUUAAUCAUCCGGCACUCCUCCAGUACGACAGGAGGUCCUGCCCCGUUUCUCCACAAUGACAUUUUGCCUUUCCCAGGAAUGGAUUCCAUAAUUCACUCACCUUGGACAAUAUACUGAUAUGGAACACAAUGGACACUAGCACCAGAAGCAUUAGACUCAUUCACUGAGGACUCAUGGCACAAUUAUACUGACAAUAAAAUCCAUGGGACCAAAUGCCCCCUCUUUGUUCAUCCCAAAGUUGGUAAAUGGUAAUCCAUCUGUAUGUGUUGUUUUGUCCCACUGGUCAUCCUGCCCCCUGUCAGCCAUUGGAGAUCAGAAAUCUGCAUCUGAAGCAGGGACCGCUCUCUGAUUGGCUGGCAGGCACUUCAGUCCCGCCUCAGAGAGGGAAUCCUCCUAGCUGGUGUGAUGUCAGAGACUGACUCUGCCAAUAAGCAUGGAGCUGGCCCCAGCUGGGCAUGGGUGGGAAAAACAAAAGACCUUACUGUAUAAAAUGUCUGCUUUAUUAUUGUCAAACAUGUUGGCUUCAUUUUGUGGCUUACCACGAGCUGUCAUCCUUUUCAGCUAGAUUGAAUAAAAUUACCUUGGUGGCUUCUUCUUAAACUGGUGAGAUUUCUUGAUUGGGGAACAUUGGGUUAUAGCUUCUUGUUUUCACCAGGCAUGGAUUCACAGGUAACCUGCUGCCGGUACUUGUUAUCUGCUUACCAGAUCUAAGUAUCCACACAUUGGGUUUCACUAUCUGCGAUCCAGAUCUCACUAUCUGUGACCUCUUCAAAUUGUUCGAUUUCAGUGGGAAUGAAAUGUCUCCACCAGUGUCAAGAAUUUCCAGAAUAUAAUCCAGGAUAAUAGAAAUGUGAUUUGAA